Molecule: long non-coding RNA, 788 nt
Filed under: Mytilus galloprovincialis (Mediterranean mussel)
Lineage: Eukaryota; Metazoa; Mollusca; Bivalvia; Mytilida; Mytilidae
Source: RNAcentral
AAUUAAACAAACACAGGAUGACAGAGUAUUCCCGAAGGUAUUUGAGGUUUAAUGAACUUGUGAGUUGUUAUUACAAACUAAUUAGCAUGUGUGUGUCCAUGUAUAAAGUGAUUUUUUUGUAAAAAACGUUAAACUGGUCAGCUACCCCCAUCGCCGAUAAUGACAAGAAAGGAACUUUCCCUCAGAUCAAUUAAAUGCACCUUACUCAAAUAAUUACGGCCACAAAAUCAAAACUACCAUUCUGUAGCUAAACUGUUUAAUUAAAUAAUAGUUUUAAAGCCUUUCACCGGAUUAAAAAGUCGUGCAACACAACAAGGUCAAUGGAUUUCAAUUGCUGGAUUCCCUUUAGAGGCCCUAUAUAUUUGAUUCGAAUGCUCCCGAUGACUUCCGUUAGCUAUUUAGCAACGAUAAAGUCCGAGAAUAAACUGGACCCCUGCUGUUGUUUCACUGUUAUCGUGUGCCGAAGUAUCAAUCAGCGGGUGACCAGUUUAGUCGGGUAACUUGUGUGUUGAAUGACGUUCCCGAUUCGACUACGGAAUCGUCAUUUGACAGUGACUUUGAAUCUGAAUUGGUCAGUGAAUUAACGGAUGAGAAAAUAAUCAUAAAAAGCAAAAUCGCUCCACGUAGGACAUCUCCCAACGACGAGCGUGAUUGAAGAAGUGGCGUUUGAUUUAUAAACAAAAAUGUAGCAAAACGUCUAUCUUCAUCUUCUUUUAUUUUUACAUUUACAUCUAAAUCAACCCAAAAAUAAACUGUUGUCUGUUGUGUCACCUAUUAUCCCUUGUCAG